AGGUGGAAAACAUGCCAUUUAAAUUGGGAUGAACUUGAAUAUUUGCAGGAAAAAGAAAAGGGUCACCCUCCAUCACGAGUUGAAUUAUUCCAGACUUGCUUUACUCAUGCCAAUGGAAGUCCUUCAAGUAAUAUUGUAGCAGAAAGAUUGGUGAUAGGUACUUGGAUUUUUGUGAAGCUAUACGACGGUUGAAGAUGGUCUGCCUAGUUAGUUUUUAUUUUAUAAAACUCUGUUCUAAAACUUAAUAUUUUGAGUGCAGUGUGUUGUUAGUUUUGGAUGUAAAGAACUUGUCGUUAGUUUGCAUUUGUAACUUUGACUCAAAUAUUUGUUGGAUGAAUUUAGAUUAUCUAUUUGCACUUUAAA
This is a long non-coding RNA of Zingiber officinale, 363 nucleotides long. RefSeq lists it as uncharacterized. The record is from RefSeq and is a predicted model, not a curated record. Lineage: Eukaryota; Viridiplantae; Streptophyta; Magnoliopsida; Zingiberales; Zingiberaceae. The transcript is spliced from 2 exons.